UUAACUGUUAUAUAGUACUCAGACAGUAAAUAUUACAGAGUUGUGGUCCUCUGGCAGGCACUCUCAGGCCGAAGCCUGCGCUUUCGCGGCCCACCAAAGCAACAAGUGAAUAAAAUCAAGGGUGAGAAGGACCGGUUGCCCGGCUUCAUUUGUAAUGAUCCUUCCGCAGGUUCACCUACGGAAA
Molecule: unclassified non-coding RNA, 184 nt
Filed under: uncultured fungus
Lineage: Eukaryota; Fungi
Description: sequence contains ITS1
Source: RNAcentral